AGGACGAACGCUGGCGGCGUGCCUAACACAUGCAAGUGGAGCGACGAACCAGGCUUCGGCCUGGGGCAAAGCCGCGAACGGGUGAGUAACACGUGGGUAACCUGCCCCGAUGAUUGGGACAACCCGAGGAAACUCGGGCUAAUACCAAAUGUGACCUCCGACCGUAAGGUUGAUGGGGAAAGGAAGCUUCGGCCUCCGCAUUGGGAUGGGCCCGCGGCCCAUUAGCUUGUUGGUGAGGUAACGGCUCACCAAGGCGACGAUGGGUAGCUGGUCUGAGAGGACGAUCAGCCACACUGGGACUGAGACACUGCCCAGACUCCUACGGGGGGCUGCAGUAACGAAUCUUCCGCAAUGCACGAAAGUGUGACGGAGCGACGCCGCGUGGAGGACGAAGUUCUUCGGAAUGUAAACUCCUGUCAGGGGAAGAAAGUUCUGAUCUACCCAGAGGAAGAGGCGGCUAACUCUGUGCCAGCAGCCGC
This 479-nucleotide ribosomal RNA is filed under the name uncultured bacterium. RNAcentral describes it as "SSU rRNA". It matches the Rfam family "Bacterial small subunit ribosomal RNA", at positions 26 to 518 of the family's 1533-position model. The record is from RNAcentral.